UCUUUUCUCCUCUCCUCAUCUCUCUAUUCCGUUUACCUUUUCCCUGCCAUCAACCCUCCCUUCCUUUUUCUCUCGCUCACAGCCACCGCAAAACCCCUCAAGCCCUCAUAUCCUCAAACCAACAAAUUUAAUUCCACAAUCUCUCACACUUAAUUUAAACCCUCGAACCAAAAACUCGAUUUCAAGUAUCAAGCAGCCAGGUUUUUGGGUGUUGGAAUUUCGGCGAAUUGUUUCUUGCCAUUAUUACCAAUCUUCAUGGCUUUGUCUCUCAGGUUCGAUGCUCAAAUUUAAGGUUUUUUGUUGGAGAAGUGGUGGACCUUUUAAUUGUGCCUACUGUGUUGGUGGUCGUUGCUAGACCGGCAAGAAAAAGUCUACUGUGCAUAACACCAUGCCUGCAUUUUUGCAGCAAGGACCAAAUCAAGUAGAACUGUUUGGGAACUGCUAAUAUACUGAUUUUGUGGAAUUUUUGUUCUUUGCAAGGUUUUUUUGGCUGAUAUAAUACUUUUGCCAUCACUCUCCAGCUACGUAAAAUCUACUUAACUAAUGGAAAGGACCUAGCGUUUGGCUGUGGUAAAGUUUUGGUUGGUAAGUUCCUAUUAUGACUCAUGUGAAUCUGUUGCAGAGUGGUUUUAGUGUGUGAAUUUCAU
RNAcentral lists this small RNA (647 nucleotides) under Malus domestica (apple). RNAcentral's name for it is "sRNA MD13G0226800". The record is from RNAcentral. Lineage: Eukaryota; Viridiplantae; Streptophyta; Magnoliopsida; Rosales; Rosaceae.